CCUACGGGUGGCAGCAGUCGAGAAUCAUUCACAAUGGGGGAAACCCUGAUGGUGCGACGCCGCGUGGGGGAAUGAAGGUCUUCGGAUUGUACACCCCUGUCAUGUGGGAGCAAAUUAAAAAGAUAGUACCCCAAGAGGAAGAGACGGCUAACUCUGGGACAGCAGCCGCGGUAAUACAGGGGUCUCAAGCGUUGUUCGGAAUCACUGGGCGUAAAGCGUGCGUAGGCUGUUUCGUAAGUCGUGUGUGAAAGGCGCGGGCUCAACCCGCGGACGGCACAUGAUACUGCGAGACUAGAGUAAUGGAGGGGGAACCGGAAUGCUCGGUGUAGCAGUGAAAUGCGUAGAUAUCGAGAGGAACACUCGUGGCGAAGGCGGGUUCCUGGACAUUAACUGACGCUGAGGCACGAAGGCCAGGGGAGCAAACAGGAUUAGAUACCCUUGUAGUC
This 446-nucleotide ribosomal RNA is filed under the name uncultured bacterium. RNAcentral's name for it is "partial 16S ribosomal RNA". It matches the Rfam family "Bacterial small subunit ribosomal RNA", at positions 338 to 795 of the family's 1533-position model. The record is from RNAcentral.